UACGACUCGCCGGGCGGGAGAGGCCAUGUCUGUUCUUGCGAUGCGAGUGAGAGGAUCUCCUCGCGAAGCAACGGCAACGCCAUGGGGCAGUGAUAGCAUAGCGAACCGUCGCCUAGCGAUUCAGUCAUCGGCGAUAGAUAUCAUUGUUGGCCAGUUACUAUUCGAUUGGUGCUCUUACAGAUCCAUAUGGUCUCGACAAUCGCGUUGUUCCUCUCCGCCUCCAGCUACUUACUUCGGCAUGUUGAUACUUCAUCUUCUUUGUUCCACUUUCCCCCAAUUCUUUCUCCAUCAAAUUUCAGAAUUUAUCUUAUUGAUUGAUGUUGUUCUUUCUACCCCCAAAUGAAUAGAAGGUGCUCCGAGUUGACGAAUUCCAGGUCGUUUCCGAUGGGCUGGGUUGUUCCUUGCCGCUGUAAUGGCGAACUGUCAGGUUAUUAUCCGUGUCAUCUUACUAUUCGUGCUCAGCCUGCUGCAUGCACAGGGUAUCUACAGUUGGACGGUAUUGUUUUGAUUCAUCACUACGAUUGGGUUCUUAAUCUAUAUCCCGUUUGGGAAUUUUUGUCUCAUGAUGGAUUAUUCAGUGGAGGGGACUGUUCUAGGAAUCCGAGGGACGAUGGCAUAUGGAGCAACUUCUUCUGUUUAUCUUUUUGGACAACAACUUUACAUGCUUCCGAAGACUCUAACUGAAGGUACAUACAUACAUACCUAUAUGAGGUAUCCAUGCCAAAAUAAAGUCAAGUACGUCAUGGAUUGGAUCCAUACCCAGCUUGGCCAUGAACCAACAUUCUCUCAAAAGCUUGGCGCUCCCUUCCCUCUAAACUUCUGUGUUUUUUCAUCAAGACGAUGUUCAGAUGCAGUCUAUGCGCACGCACAUAUGGCGCUUAGCGUUUCCAAAUGGUUGUGAAGCUCAACACUUUUGAUAAACACUUUGUGCUCUUUAUGUGGUGAUGCACGUUCUUAAUAUGCAUUAUGUUUCACAUCUGACCAAUUUUUGUGACAUGAUUAGUGUCUCGUGGCAUAUUGUUUUUAGGGAAAUGAAGGAGAUCAGAUAAAUUUUCUCGACAAAGCCAAGCAUGUUUUUAAAGUCAUGUAAGGUGGUAGCAUGUAAGGAUCUUCAGUCACUAUUUUUGCAGCAUGUUCUGGAUGUAAAUCGGAUGCCUGAUGCCAUGUAUAAUAGAAUACAAAUACGCAGA
This is a long non-coding RNA of Triticum dicoccoides, 1190 nucleotides long. RefSeq lists it as uncharacterized. The record is from RefSeq and is a predicted model, not a curated record. Lineage: Eukaryota; Viridiplantae; Streptophyta; Magnoliopsida; Poales; Poaceae. The transcript has 4 exons.